GACGAACGCUGGCGGCGUGCUUAACACAUGCAAGUCGAACGGAAAGGCCCCUUUUUGGUUACUCGAGUGGCGAACGGGUGAGUAACACGUGAGUAACCUGCCCUUGACUUCGGGAUAACUUCAGGAAACUGGGGCUAAUACCUGAUAGGAAUCCUUGCUGCAUGGUGGGGGUUGGAAAGCUUCGGCGGUUUUGGAUGGACUCGCGGCUUAUCAGCUUGUUGGUGGGGUAGUGGCUUACCAAGGCUUUGACGGGUAGCCGGCCUGAGAGGGCGACCGGCCAAAUUGGGACUGAGAUACGGCCCAGACUCCUACGGGAGGCAGCAGGGGGGAAUAUUGCAAAAUGGGCGGAAGCCUGAUGCAGCAAAGCCGCGUGCGGGAUGACGGCCUUUGGGUUGUAAACCGCUUUCAGCAGGGGCGAAGCUUGUGGUGACGGUACCUGCAGAAGAAGCACCGGCUAACUACGUG
RNAcentral lists this ribosomal RNA (465 nucleotides) under uncultured bacterium. Its description in RNAcentral is "partial 16S ribosomal RNA". It matches the Rfam family "Bacterial small subunit ribosomal RNA", at positions 28 to 507 of the family's 1533-position model. The record is from RNAcentral.